Long non-coding RNA from Nematolebias whitei (Rio pearlfish), 276 nucleotides. RefSeq lists it as uncharacterized. The record is from RefSeq and is a predicted model, not a curated record. Lineage: Eukaryota; Metazoa; Chordata; Actinopteri; Cyprinodontiformes; Rivulidae. The transcript has 3 exons.
CUUCCAACAACAUCUCAUUAGGGCAUCUGGUUCGUGCUCGACGGCAGCUGCACCUAAAAAACGAGUGGGCAAUAUGGAGCGGCUGGUCUGUGUGCUCACGCAGCUGUGGGGGCGGAGCCUCUGUGCGAACACGCACCUGUAUCACCAGGAACCCGGUUGGUGUACCAUGUGUAGGAGAUCCUCGACAGUAUAAGAUCUGCAACACAAAGGAAUGUCCCCCCGGCUCUGAGGACUUCAGACAGGUGCAGUGUGCUGCCUUCAAUGACAGGCCAUUGG